UACGUAGGGGGCAAGCGUUGUCCGGAAUCAUUGGGCGUAAAGAGCUUGUAGGCGGCCAGAAAAGUCCGCUGUGAAAACUCGAGGCUCAACUUCGAGCUGUCGGUGGAAACUUUCUGGCUAGAGUCCGGAAGAGGAGAAUGGAAUUCCUGGUGUAGCGGUGAAAUGCGCAGAUAUCAGGAGGAACACCGAUGGCGAAGGCAGGUCUCUGGGCCACUACUGACGCUGAGAAGCGAAAGCAUGGGGAGCGAACAGG
This 253-nucleotide ribosomal RNA is filed under the name uncultured bacterium. Its description in RNAcentral is "partial 16S ribosomal RNA". It matches the Rfam family "Bacterial small subunit ribosomal RNA", at positions 524 to 776 of the family's 1533-position model. The record is from RNAcentral.